Molecule: long non-coding RNA, 501 nt
Filed under: Cricetulus griseus (Chinese hamster)
Lineage: Eukaryota; Metazoa; Chordata; Mammalia; Rodentia; Cricetidae
Description: lncRNA (ENSCGRG00015030988.1)
Source: RNAcentral
CCAAGAAGCAACAAGAGCUGAGGAGAUGCCAGUGGUGGGGGCAGUCCUGAGGAUUCAUGGGAACACCUUGACAUGUGAGUGCCAUGGAGAUCAUCAAGGAACCUGGGAUGCAAAGCCUUCUACAACAGAUGGACCAAGCCGCUGCAGCAUUUACACCUAGAUGCCACAGACUGCCUUCCCUUCCCAUCCACCCCAGCACACAUGGAGAGACUCCAGGAGGCAGACAACCACCUUUGGAACUGUUGUCUGGGAGAGGGUCAGGUCAGACUCCAGGUGGCCUCAGCUGAUGCCAGCCACAGUCCCGAGCAAGUGACAGGACACCUCCAGCCUGCCGCACUGACCAUGGUCAAGAUGGCUUCUGGAACCCAGCCCAAGACCAGCCAUGGUGCUGCUAGGGAUGGAGUACUGGUUGAUUUUGUGCCUCAACUUGACACAAGCUAGAGUCAUCAGAGAAGAAGGAGCCUCAGUUGAGAAAAUGCCUCCAUGAGAUCCAGCUGUAAG